GAAGGAAUCACGGGGAAGGGGAUUCUCUCCCAGUUGAAUCUGGAGACCGGUAUCCCCAUCUACGAGGCAGAGCCGCUGCUCCUCUUCUUCAUCCUCUUCACCCUCCUCGGCGCCAUUGGAGCUCUGGGAGACCGUGGGCGCUUCGUCGAUGACCCCCCCACUGGGCUCGAGAAGGCCGUCAUCGCCCCCGGCAAGGGCAUCAGAUCUGCCCUGGGUCUCAAAGAAGGAGGUAAGCCCCACUUCAGACUGCCUUCUGCUCCGCCUACACCGCCGGAUUCUGACCCUCUGCAAUGGAUCCAUCUGCGAAGGCCCUCUGUUCGGAUUCACGAAGGCGAAUGAGCUCUUCGUGGGAAGGCUGGCGCAGCUCGGGAUCGCCUUCUCCAUCAUCGGGGAGAUCAUCACCGGAAAGGGUGCUCUGGCGCAGCUGAACAUCGAGACCGGUGUGCCGAUCAGCGACAUCGAACCUCUGGUCCUGUUCAACGUCGCCUUCUUCUUCUUCGCCGCCCUCAACCCUGGCACCGGCAAGUUCCUCACCGACGAGGAGGAAGACUGAGACGUGGAGCUGCAGAGCUCCGGCGGAGCAUGGACUCGCGACAAGACCUCCGCUCUUCUUCCAGGGAGCAUGUAUUUUUUUAUUUAUUUUUGUAAACAUCUAGUCGAACCUUCAAAUGAUAUAACCCUCUCUCUCUCUCUCUCUCUCUCUNN
RNAcentral lists this long non-coding RNA (705 nucleotides) under Spirodela polyrhiza (greater duckweed). RNAcentral describes it as "long non-coding RNA (SPOL_LNC000698)". The record is from RNAcentral. Lineage: Eukaryota; Viridiplantae; Streptophyta; Magnoliopsida; Alismatales; Araceae.